RNAcentral lists this ribosomal RNA (748 nucleotides) under uncultured bacterium. Its description in RNAcentral is "bacterial SSU rRNA". It matches the Rfam family "Bacterial small subunit ribosomal RNA", at positions 28 to 776 of the family's 1533-position model. The record is from RNAcentral.
AUUGAACGCUGGCGGCAGGCUUAACACAUGCAAGUCGAACGAUGAAACCUAGCUUGCUAGGUGGAUUAGUGGCGGACGGGUGAGUACAACUUAGGAAUCUACCUUUUAGCGGGGGAUAGCUCGGGGAAACUCGAAUUAAUACCGCAUACACCUUACGAGGGAAAGGGGGCUUUUAGCUCUUACUAAAAGAUGAGCCUAAGCAAGAUUAGCUAGUUGGUGGGGUAAAAGCCUACCAGGGCGACGAUCUUUAGCUGGUCUGAGAGGAUGAUCAGCCACACUGGGACUGAGACACGGCCCAGACUCCUACGGGAGGCAGCAGUGGGGAAUAUUGGACAGUGGGGGCAACCCUGAUCCAGCCAUGCCGCGUGUGUGAAGAAGGCCUUUUGGUUGUAAAGCACUUUAAGCAGUGAGGAAAAGCUAUAUGUUAAUACCAUAUAGCCCUGACGUUAACUGCAGAAUAAGCACCGGCUAACUCUGUGCCAGCAGCCGCGGUAAUACAGAGGGUGCAAGCGUUAAUCGGAAUUACUGGGCGUAAAGAGAACGUAGGUGGUCAAUUAAGUCAGAUGUGAAAUCCCUGAGCUCAACUUAGGAACUGCAUCUGAUACUGAUUGACUAGAGUAGGUGAGAGGAGAGUAGAAUUCCAGGUGUAGCGGUGAAAUGCGUAGAUAUCUGGAGGAAUACCGAUGGCGAAGGCAGCUCUCUGGCAUCAUACUGACACUGAGGUUCGAAAGCGUGGGUAGCAAACGGG